Molecule: unclassified non-coding RNA, 207 nt
Filed under: fungal sp.
Lineage: Eukaryota; Fungi
Description: partial internal transcribed spacer region
Rfam family: Eukaryotic small subunit ribosomal RNA (bases 1-46)
Source: RNAcentral
AAGUCGUAACAAGGUAUCCGUAGGUGAACCUGCGGAUGGAUCAUUACCAAAGAUCUAUACCAAACGUUUUGUGAACUGUCUUGGCCUGAAUGUCUGACGGGUCACACCGUCUGGACGCUCAGGUACUAAACGUCUACCCUUCUUAAGCCUAGAGUAUAUCCAUAGUUGAACACUAUACAACUUUUAGCAAUGGAUCUCUUGGCUCUC